RNAcentral lists this ribosomal RNA (254 nucleotides) under uncultured bacterium. RNAcentral's name for it is "partial 16S ribosomal RNA". It matches the Rfam family "Bacterial small subunit ribosomal RNA", at positions 524 to 776 of the family's 1533-position model. The record is from RNAcentral.
GACGAACCGAGCGAACGUUGUUCGGAAUCACUGGGCUUAAAGGGCGCGUAGGCGGCUUGGCAAGUCGGGUGUGAAACCUCCAGGCUCAACCUGGAGACGCCACUCGAUACUGCCAUGGCUAGAGUCCGGUAGGGGACCACGGAAUUCCUGGUGUAGCGGUGAAAUGCGCAGAUAUCAGGAGGAACACCGGUGGCGAAGGCGGUCAACUGGCCCUGAACUGACGCUCAGGCACGAAAGCGUGGGGAUCAAACAGG